AUGAACGCUAGCGGCAGGCCUAACACAUGCAAGUCGAGGGGCAGCACAGAAAUAGCUUGCUAUUUGGGUGGCGACCGGCGCACGGGUGCGUAACGCGUAUGCAACCUACCUUAUACUGGGGUAUAGCCCGGAGAAAUUCGGAUUAAUCCCCCAUGGUAUUAUAGAUUGGCAUCGGUUUAUAAUUAAAGUAACAACGGUAUAAGAUGGGCAUGCGUCCUAUUAGCUAGAUGGUGAGGUAACGGCUCACCAAGGCUACGAUAGCUAGGGGGCGUGAGAGCGUGGCCCCCCACACGGGUACUGAGACACGGACCCGACUCCUACGGGAGGCAGCAGUAAGGAAUAUUGGACAAUGGUCGAAAGACUGAUCCAGCCAUCCCGCGUGCAGGAUGACUGCCCUACGGGUUGUAAACUGCUUUUAUAUGGGAAGAAUAGCAUAGAUUCAUCUGUGUAUGACGGUACCAUAUGAAUAAGCACCGGCUAACUCCGUG
RNAcentral lists this ribosomal RNA (488 nucleotides) under uncultured bacterium. RNAcentral describes it as "bacterial SSU rRNA". It matches the Rfam family "Bacterial small subunit ribosomal RNA", at positions 29 to 507 of the family's 1533-position model. The record is from RNAcentral.